UGGAGCUUGCGGUUUAAUUGGAUUCAACGCCGGAAAUCUUACCGGGACCGACAGCAAUAUGAAGGCCAGGCUGAAGACUUUGCCGGAUUAGCUGAGAGGUGGUGCAUGGCCGCCGUCAGUUCGUACUGUGAAGCAUCCUGUUAAGUCAGGCAACGAGCGAGACCCACGCCCACAGUUGCCAGCGUACUCUCCGGAGUGACGGGUACACUGUGGGGACCGCCGCUGCUAAAGCGGAGGAAGGAAUGGGCAACGGUAGGUCAGUAUGCCCCGAAUAUCCCGGGCUACACGCGAGCUACAAUGGUUGGUACAAUGGGUAUCUACCCCGAAAGGGGACGGGAAUCUCCUAAAACCAAUCUUAGUUCGGAUUGAGGGCUGCAACUCGCCCUCAUGAAGCUGGAAUCCGUAGUAAUCGCGUUUCAACAGAACGCGGUGAAUACGUCCCUGCUCCUU
This 450-nucleotide ribosomal RNA is filed under the name uncultured Methanosaeta sp. RNAcentral's name for it is "bacterial SSU rRNA". It matches the Rfam family "Archaeal small subunit ribosomal RNA", at positions 889 to 1338 of the family's 1478-position model. The record is from RNAcentral. Lineage: Archaea; Methanobacteriati; Methanobacteriota; Methanomicrobia; Methanotrichales; Methanotrichaceae.